RNAcentral lists this ribosomal RNA (249 nucleotides) under uncultured prokaryote. RNAcentral describes it as "partial 16S ribosomal RNA". It matches the Rfam family "Bacterial small subunit ribosomal RNA", at positions 524 to 772 of the family's 1533-position model. The record is from RNAcentral.
UACGGAGGAUCCUAGUGUUAUCCGGAUUUAUUGGGUUUAAAGUGAGCGUAGGCGGGAGGUCAAGUCAGCUGUGAAAUGUAUCUGCUUAACGGGUACACUGCAGUUGAAACUGGUGGUCUUGAGUGAGAAUGAAGCAGCUGGAAUGUGUGGUGUAGCGGUGAAAUGCAUAGAUAUCACACAGAACACCGAUAGCGAAGGCAGGUUGCUAAUUCUCAACUGACGCUGAGGGACGAAAGCGUGGGGAGCAAA